GAUUCUUUAUGUAUUAGUCUAUGUAUUAAUCUGUCUUGGGUUAGAGAUUCUUUAUGUAUUAAUCUAUGUAUUAAUCUAGAUUCUUUAUGUAUUAAUCUGUCUUGGGUUAGAGAUUCUUUAUGUAUUAAUCUGUCUUGGUUAGAGACUGUCUUGGAUUAGAUUCUUUAUGUAUUCAUCGGUCUUGGGUUAGAGAUCCUUUAUGUAUUAUUCUGUCUUGGGUUAGAUUCUUUAUGUAUUAAUCUGUCUUGGGUUAGAGAUCCUUUAUGUAUUAAUCUGUCUUGGGUUAGAGAUUCUUUAUGUAUUAAUCUGUCUUGGGUUAGAGAUUCUUUAUGUAUUAGUCUAUGUAUUAAUCUGUCUUGGGUUAGAGAUUAUUUGUAUUAAUCUGUCUUGGGUUAGAGAUUCUUUGUAUUAAUCUGUCUUGGGUUAGAGAUUCUUUAUGUAUUAAUCUGUCUUGGUUAGAGAUUCUUUAUGUAUUAGUCUAUGUAUUAAUCUGUCUUGGGUUAGAGAUUCUUUAUGUAUUAAUCUGUCUUGUUUAGAGAUUCUUUAUGUAUUAAUCUGUCUUGGGUUAGAGAUUCUUUAUGUAUUAAUCUGUCUUGGUUAGAGACUGUCUUGGAUUAGAUUCUUUAUGUAUUAAUCUGUCUUGGGUUAGAGAUUCUUUAUGUAUUAAUCUGUCUUGGGUUAGAGAUUCUUUAUGUAUUAGUCUAUGUAUUAAUCUGUCUUGGUUAGAGAUUCUUUAUGUAUUAAUCUGUCAUGGUUAGAGAUUCUUUAUGUAUUAAUCUGUCUUGGGUUAGAGAUCCUUUAUGUAUUAUUCUGUCUUGGGUUAGAGAUUCUUUGUAUUAAUCUGUCUUGGGUUAGAGAUUCUUUAUGUAUUAAUCUGUCUUGGGUUAGAGAUUCUUUAUGUAUUAAUCUGUCUUGGUUAGAGAUUCUUUAUGUAUUAGUCUAUGUAUUAAUCUGUCUUGGGUUAGAGAUCCUUUAUGUAUUAAUCUGUCUUGGGUUAGAGAUUCUUUAUGUAUUAAUCUGUCUUGGGUUAGAGAUUCUUUAUGUAUUAAUCUGUCUUGGGUUAGAGAUUCUUUAUGUAUUAAUCUGUCUUGGGUUAGAGAUUCUUUGUAUUAAUCUGUCUUGGGUUAGAGAUUCUUUAUGUAUUAGUCUAUGUAUUAAUCUGUCUUGGGUUAGAGAUUCUUUAUGUAUUAAUCUGUCUUGGGUUAGAGAUCCUUUAUGUAUUAGUCUAUGUAUUAAUCUGUCUUGGGUUAGAGAUCCUUUAUGUAUUAAUCUGUCUUGGGUUAGAGAUUCUUUGUAUUAAUCUGUCUUGGAUUAGAUUCUUUAUGUAUUAAUCUGUCUUGGGUUAGAGAUUAUUUAUGUAUUAAUCUGUCUUGGGUUAGAGAUCCUUUAUGUAUUAAUCUGUCUUGGGUUAGAGAUCCUUUAUGUAUUAAUCUGUCUUGGGUUAGAGAUCCUUUAUGUAUUAAUCUGUCUUGGGUUAGAGAUCCUUUAUGUAUUAUUCUGUCUUGGAUUAGAUCCUUUAUGUAUUAAUCUGUCUUGGGUUAGAGAUCCUUUAUGUAUUAAUCUGUCUUGGGUUAGAGAUCCUUUAUGUAUUAAUCUGUCUUGGGUUUGUACAGUUAUAUUGCUGAAUGGUGAUCUUAAUAACUUUUCCCUCCUAACACUUUGUUCUGUGUGUCUGGAGCUCCUGGUCAUGAAUAUGUAUGGCUGAUUUAUUAACAGUGGGCAGCCUCCCAAAUCACACCCUAUGCCCUUUACAGUGAACUGCGUUUAACCAGACUAGUGCACUAUAUAGGGAACAGGGUGCCGUUUUAGGGACGCUGCCGGUGUGAUUUUAAAGGAUGUUUUUUGACUGGGCUGUGUUCUACACUGUUUUGAUUGGAGCGGUUUAAAGGUUUAAGUCAAUUCCUUCCUAGUCAUUUCUAGAAACCUGUUUGCGUUCCAGGCCGACUACGUUACAGAUGCAUUGCAUCCACCCAUUGUUCUGCACCACGUCAUUGAGUGACACAAUCGGGCAUCAGAUUGCUAUAUAAUAGGAUGUGGUUAGGUGUUUAACAUAACAGCUAUCUAGGCAGGCAUCUGCAGUGUAGUCAUCCUGGAACGUGUCCGUUGUGUUACUUCCUGUUACUAGUGAGUGUUAUGUUGCAUGUUCUUUUCUGAACCGGUGUCUGGCUCGUAGGACUGUAGUUUUAACUGAACCGGUGUCUGGCUCGUAGGACUGUAGUUUUAACUGAACCGGUGUCUGGCUCGUAGGACUGUAGUUUUAACUGAACCGGUGUCUGGCUCGUAGGACUGUAGUUUUAACUGAACCGGUGUCUGGCUCGUAGGACUGUAGUUUUAACUGAACCGGGGUCUGGCUCGUAGGACUGUAGUUUUAACUGAACCGGUGUCUGUAGUUUAGUGAUUCUCUGCAUGCAUGUGUUUUAUUAAUCGUCUACAAUCAGAGCAGCAACGUGCUAAGGGAACCCUAUCUCCUACAUAGUGCACCACUUUAGACCAGGGCCCUCUGGGCUUCCUCACCUGGGCUUCCCCACCUGGGCUUCCCUACCUGGGCUUCCUCACCUGGGCUUCCCCACCUGGGCUUCCUCACCUGGGCUUCCCUACCUGGGCUUCCUCACCUGGGCUUCCCUACCUGGGCUUCCUCACCUGGGCUUCCUCACCUGGGCUUCCCCACCUGGGCUUCCUCACCUGGGCUUCCUCACCUGGGCUUCCCCACCUGGGCUUCCCCAUCCGGGCUUCCCCAUCCGGGCUUCCCCAUCCGGGCUUCCUCACCUGGGCUUCCCCACCUGGGCUUCCCCAUCCGGGCUUCCUCACCUGGGCUUCCUCACCUGGGCUUCCCCACCUGGGCUUCCCCACCUGGGCCUCCCCACCUGGGCUUCCCCACCUGGGCUUCCCCACCUGGGCCUCCCCACCUGGGCUUCCCCACCGGGCUUCCCCACCUGGGCUUCCCAAUUUUCCCUGGUCUAAAUUAGUGCAGUAUGAAGGGAAUAGGGAAUGUGAUGUUAACUUUUGUGUUUUUCUACUGGCUGUACAAUUUUAUAUUCUUUCCCAUUCUGGACCUAUUUUAAUGAAGAGGUCUCUAUCAGAGAAACUGUUGUAUCCCCUAUGCCAUCCUGUUCCCUAUAUAGUACACUACUUUUGGCCCAGUCAGGCUAGGGACAAUAAUCCAACUCAAAUGUGACACUAAACAGUGGUUUGUAAUGACAUUGGGGAGUUGAGAGAGAGCUGGAGAUCAGCCACAUGUCUGUCACUCUGGCGUGUGUCUAGUGUGACACCAGAUGUGCCUGUAAAUACAUUGUGAAGAGAUUUGUUUUUAUGGGGAAUAAUAAAGUUUUUAAUUGUAACAGGA
Long non-coding RNA from Oncorhynchus tshawytscha (Chinook salmon), 3343 nucleotides. The record is from Ensembl. NCBI's taxonomy places the organism in Eukaryota, Metazoa, Chordata, Actinopteri, Salmoniformes, Salmonidae.